This 183-nucleotide ribosomal RNA is filed under the name Klebsiella pneumoniae. Its description in RNAcentral is "partial 23S ribosomal RNA". It matches the Rfam family "Bacterial large subunit ribosomal RNA", at positions 1 to 184 of the family's 2925-position model. Lineage: Bacteria; Pseudomonadati; Pseudomonadota; Gammaproteobacteria; Enterobacterales; Enterobacteriaceae. The record is from RNAcentral.
GGUUAAGCGACUAAGCGUACACGGUGGAUGCCCUGGCAGUCAGAGGCGAUGAAGGACGUGCUAAUCUGCGAAAAGCGUCGGUAAGGUGAUAUGAACCGUUAUAGCCGGCGAUGUCCGAAUGGGGAAACCCAGUGUGAUUCGUCACACUAUCGUUAACUGAAUACAUAGGUUAACGAGGCGAAC